Long non-coding RNA from Homo sapiens (human), 1303 nucleotides. Ensembl annotates it as long intergenic non-protein coding RNA 1241. The record is from Ensembl. NCBI's taxonomy places the organism in Eukaryota, Metazoa, Chordata, Mammalia, Primates, Hominidae.
CUUUUUUCUUCCAGUCAAUUUUUUCUUUGAUCUACAGAACUUGCUUCUUUUCUCUGAAGUUUUCACAAUACAGCAUGAUAGAAGGAGCACAGAGUGCCAGAGGCAGGGAAUUCCUAUGCUUCACUAGUGACUCAUAAGAAAACUUAAUAGAAGGUCUCUACUGCCUGCUGGCCCUGCAGUACCUGAUUGAUGUGGUCCCAAACUAAAGUAGGCUAACCUUCAUUGAACCAAGCACUUCAGAGCCAUGGGAAGAAGUAUGGGGGAAGGAGUCCUUGUACUCUGGCAAUGAGGAAAACAAACAUUAACAGUGCAAGACACAGUGAGAGUCACAGAUCCAUGGAUGGACGAUCCUUUUGAGGACAAUAGAGGGGGAAUUUGGAUAAGUUUCCUGAGUGAGAAACCUUCCAGAUGGCAAUCUGAAAGUUAGCUGUUCCUUCUCAAAACACAGAGCUUUCUCAAGAGAAAGAUAACACCCUCUUUCAUCAGAGCGAGCGAGCUUUCUUCAUGGUGGCAAUUUCCAGUCUCCAGUGCAAGGAGGGGAAACUGAAGGAGAAUAAGGCGGUUACAUUCAGUUAGAGCCUGAGAGCAGAAUUUGGUUAGGCUGAAGCAGCUGGAAACUGUGGAAUGUAAUACCAGAGAGGAGACUGCCACACAAAGAACUCUAAAAAUUUUGAUUUUCAGCAAACCUUCAGAAGGCAAAAGGGAAAGUUUUCCCAUGGGCCAACGUGGAUAUGUUUCUGUAAUAGUCUGCUCAGCCUUCUACAACAAGAUGUCGCAGACUGGGUGACUUAAACCAGGGAUCCUCAAACCCUGGCAAUGGAUCGGUACGGGUCAGUGGCCUGUUAGGAAUCAGGCCACGUAGCAGGAGUCCAUAUUUGGAAUAACAACAAUAUAACACUCCUUUGGUAGUUAUAUUUUCUCACCUUCUUUACAGAAGAAGAAAUCCUUACUUAGAAAGGCUCAUUCUAGGGGAAACCAGCUGCCAUAUUAAGAAAACAGUCCUAUGGAAAGGGCCAUGGAACAAAGAAGUGACUUCUGCCAACAACCUCAUGAGUGAACCUAGAAGUGGCUCAUCUAGUCCUGGUCAAAUCUUAUGGACUGUGGCUCCAACUGAUAGUGUGACUGUAACUUCAUAAGAGACGCUGAACCAGACCACCCAAUAAGACACUCCCAGAUUCCCUACUCUCAAAAGUUGUGUGAAAUAAUCACCCCCAGUUGUAUUAAACUGCUAAGUUUUGGGGUAGUGUGUUACACAGCAAUAAAUCAUAAAUACAACAUCCAAGCAAUAAAUUUCUAUGAUAAA